GAUGAACGCUGGCGGCGUGCCUAAUACAUGCAAGUCGAGCGGACAGACGAGGAGCUUGCUUCUCUGACGUUAGCGGCGGACGGGUGAGUAACACGUGGAUAACCUACCUAUAAGACUGGGAUAACUUCGGGAAACCGGAGCUAAUACCGGAUAAUAUAUUGAACCGCAUGGUUCAAUAGUGAAAGACGGUUUUGCUGUCACUUAUAGAUGGAUCCGCGCCGCAUUAGCUAGUUGGUAAGGUAACGGCUUACCAAGGCAACGAUGCGUAGCCGACCUGAGAGGGUGAUCGGCCACACUGGAACUGAGACACGGUCCAGACUCCUACGGGAGGCAGCAGUAGGGAAUCUUCCGCAAUGGGCGAAAGCCUGACGGAGCAACGCCGCGUGAGUGAUGAAGGUCUUCGGAUCGUAAAACUCUGUUAUUAGGGAAGAACAAAUGUGUAAGUAACUAUGCACGUCUUGACGGUACCUAAUCAGAAAGCCACGGCUAACUACGUG
This 497-nucleotide ribosomal RNA is filed under the name uncultured bacterium. RNAcentral describes it as "partial 16S ribosomal RNA". It matches the Rfam family "Bacterial small subunit ribosomal RNA", at positions 28 to 507 of the family's 1533-position model. The record is from RNAcentral.